GUAAUACAUCGGAACGUACCCAGUAGCGGGGGAUAGCCCGGCGAAAGCCGGAUUAAUACCGCAUACGCCCUACGGGGGAAAGGGGGGGAUCGUAAGACCUCUCACUAUUGGAGCGGCCGAUGGCUGAUUAGCUAGUUGGUGGGGUAAAGGCCUACCAAGGCGACGAUCAGUAGCUGGUCUGAGAGGACGACCAGCCACACUGGGACUGAGACACGGCCCAGACUCCUACGGGAGGCAGCAGUGGGGAAUUUUGGACAAUGGCGAAAGCCUGAUCCAGCAAUGCCGCGUGUGCGAAGGAGGCCUUCGGGUUGUAAAGCACUUUUGUCAGGGAAGAAAUCGUUCGGGCUAAUACCUCGGGCAGUUGACGGUACCUGAAGAAUAAGCACCGGCUAACUACGUGCCAGCAGCCGCGGUAAUACGUAGGGUGCAAGCGUUAAUCGGAAUUACUGGGCGUAAAGCGUGCGCAGGUGGUUCGUUAAGACAGUUGUGAAAUCCCCGGGCUUAACCUGGGAACUGCAAUUGUGACUGGCGGACUAGAGUUUGGCAGAGGGGGGUGGAAUUCCUGGUGUAGCAGUGAAAUGCGUAGAUAUCAGGAGGAACACCGAUGGCGAAGGCAGCCCCCUGGGCCAUGACUGACACUCAUGCA
This 646-nucleotide ribosomal RNA is filed under the name uncultured bacterium. RNAcentral's name for it is "bacterial SSU rRNA". It matches the Rfam family "Bacterial small subunit ribosomal RNA", at positions 110 to 753 of the family's 1533-position model. The record is from RNAcentral.